Molecule: long non-coding RNA, 630 nt
Organism: Bactrocera oleae (olive fruit fly)
Lineage: Eukaryota; Metazoa; Arthropoda; Insecta; Diptera; Tephritidae
Source: RefSeq, a predicted model, not a curated record
AAUUUUUAAAUACGAAUUAACAGUUAGAAAAAAAAAUUAUUAUGAAAAAAAUUCAUAGAAAUUCUUUUCAAAUAAAAAUCAUAAAUUUUAAACCUUAUUUUUAUUUCUUAAAUAAUCUUAUCUAAAAUACACCUUUUAAACAACACUAUUGUCUGCGACGAACUAUGAGACAUAAAUAAUUCAGAUAUUUCCGUACCGUACAAAUCUGCCAGCAACAAAAUAAUUUAAGCAUACCACAACGGAAACGCGUGCCAGUUUGCGGAAAUGCCAACCAAUCGAAAUGUUCAUACGCAUGAAAAUGGACGACUGAUUGCAAAAAAACACCUCUCAAAACUCAUAUGCGAGAUGUUAUGUUAGGUAAAGUUGUUUUCACAAGAACAAGCAAAUCCCGGAAAUUAGAAAUCUAUUCGAAAUCAAAUGCGAUUAUAAUGAUGACCAGAACAACAGGUGGGAGUGUAUAAGUACACUCGUACUCUGCGUGUACUGAUAUAACGGCAUAAGAGGGAUGAACGAAGUAAACAUUUUUAUUAGGAAACGUACAUUCUACCUUAACAAAUAUAUUUGAUGAAUUAAUGAGAUGUUUUUCAGUUGUCAUUUAUGAGGAAUAAAAUUUGAAAAGUUAUUAAAUUA